This 305-nucleotide ribosomal RNA is filed under the name uncultured bacterium. RNAcentral's name for it is "bacterial SSU rRNA". It matches the Rfam family "Bacterial small subunit ribosomal RNA", at positions 337 to 658 of the family's 1533-position model. The record is from RNAcentral.
CCCUACGGGGCGCAGCAGUCGGGAAUAUUGCGCAAUGGAGGCAACUCUGACGCAGUGACGCCGCGUAUAGGAAGAAGGUUUUCGGAUUGUAAACUAUUGUCCUCAGGGAAGAAAAAAGACUGUACCUGAGAAGAAAGCUCCGGCUAACUACGUGCCAGCAGCCGCGGUAAUACGUAGGGAGCAAGCGUUAUCCGGAAUUAUUGGGUUUAAAGGGAGCGUAGAUGGGUUGUUAAGUCAGUUGUGAAAGUUUGCGGCUCAACCGUAAAAUUGCAAUUGAUACUGGCAGCCUUGAGUACAGUUGAGGU